RNAcentral lists this ribosomal RNA (265 nucleotides) under uncultured prokaryote. RNAcentral describes it as "partial 16S ribosomal RNA". It matches the Rfam family "Bacterial small subunit ribosomal RNA", at positions 524 to 788 of the family's 1533-position model. The record is from RNAcentral.
UACGUAGGUGGCAAGCGUUAUCCGGAAUUAUUGGGCGUAAAGAGCGCGCAGGUGGUUGAUUAAGUCUGACGUGAAAGCCCACGGCUUAACCGUGGAGGGUCAUUGGAAACUGGUCGACUUGAGUGCAGAAGAGGGAAGUGGAAUUCCAUGUGUAGCGGUGAAAUGCGUAGAGAUAUGGAGGAACACCAGUGGCGAAGGCGGCUUCCUGGUCUGUAACUGACACUGAGGCGCGAAAGCGUGGGGAGCAAACAGGAUUAGAUACCCU